Long non-coding RNA from Molossus molossus (Pallas's mastiff bat), 1714 nucleotides. RefSeq lists it as uncharacterized. The record is from RefSeq and is a predicted model, not a curated record. Lineage: Eukaryota; Metazoa; Chordata; Mammalia; Chiroptera; Molossidae. The transcript is spliced from 8 exons.
GCUGGGAUGGAGCGCGCCUUGGCUCGCUGGCCUUGGCCGCAGCUCCUCCGAAGAACUGGGGCGCCCACGCGAGAAUCUCCCCACCAGGUUCUCUCUUCAGGGAUGACAUCACCACUCAACUCCUUGUCUUCAAGGACCACCUCUCGAUGCCCAGCUGCUGCCAAGGUGCUUGCUGCUCAUCUCCACCUUAUGUUGCAGAGGAUGACAGGAGCGCCGAUUCCCAAAUCCCACCAGCACACCAAGCAGCCCCUGGCAGACGCUCCCCGGGACCAGGACCACAGAGGCUGAAGAAGACCAGAACUGACCAGCCAGUUGUUCCUCUUGGCUAAAGACUUAAACCAAUGCCCUAGUGAGGGGGCAUUGGACAGUAACCCCUGACCUUUGCUAUGCUUGUGCCUGUUGCUAUGAGUACUUUCCUGUAAGUCUCUGCUUGUGUUAAUGUGCCAGCGACCUGGAGUGUUUCCCUCCCCAAGAAGGUGUCAGUCUUUCUCAGCUGACCCUGUUGUUGCCCGUCUGAUGUCCUGAAUGGAAGGAUCCCUUUGGGAACUUCUCAGGAGGGGGACCUGGGCCAAGGGCUCCGCCAGCAUCUCUGGCAAUUCCAAGGCCCAGGUAGGCUUCUGGAAUGAGCAUGAGCCCUGACGUCAUGGGCAUCCCCUCCCCUUUUGAUAUCUCCCGGUCCUUUCCGUGGACUGGUGAUGAGAAGAGCAACCUCCCAGGGUUGUUGUGAGUAUUAAAUGAGCCAAAUCAGCCUGGGGCAGGGCUGGGCAUAGAGGAGGCAGCCAGCAAGUGUGUUUGAAAGCUCGGUACGUCAGUCCAUCCCCACCUCUGUCACUGGUCUCACACCUCUCGUUUAUUCUCCCACAGCGCUUCGACAGCCCCUGUCCACGGGGCUCUCCUUGCACAGCUUCUCGAAAGGCCUGUCUCCACUUGCUGUCUUCCUUCCUCACCUCCAGCUUCCUCUUCAACCCACUGCUUCCUGCCUUCUCUACUCCAUCGAGCGGCUUUCACUAAGGUGUUGCCAUGGCCUGCCCCGUCCCCAAGAGUCCUGGGCUCUGCCCACCCCAAGUCACCCCUGGUUUCGAGUUGGUUUGGGGGCCGCCACCCAGGCCCAUGGCUUUUCCUGUCAUUGCUCAAACCCAUGAGCCACCUCCCUCCGCCGCAGAGCAUUCGUCAGGCUUGGCCCUUGGCCGGGUCAGCUGAAGAGCUGGACAGAAGAGGCAGAGGAGCCCCGAGGACUAGCGCCCUGGACCACGCCCUCCUUCCUGACAGUCCCCUGCGUCAUGUGCCCCGCCUGUCGCCUCCCGGUUUGGGCCGAAUCCAUCGUCCGGAAUCCUUCGUGGGAUGAGACCUCAGACAUAACCCCAGCAUCUGCCACCUGUAAAAUCCCUCCACAGCCACGGGGACGCCCUGCACAUUCCCACGAGACAGGCUGGACCCAAAGACUCUGGACCUGGGCUGCCCCCUGCGAGGAGGGGGUGUGCCCUCCUCAGCUCCCCCUGCAGUAACCGCCCACCCCUUGGCUGAUGGACUUCACUGAUCUGAGGGUCAGGCACGCCGCUUGACCCCCGCCCACCCCUCACCAGCCCUGGGACUUAGGGGACGGCGGUGCUUCGACGUCGCGUCUGUGAAAUCGGCUCUGCACCUACCUCACAGGGUUGUUGUGAGGAGCCUGUGAGGCGGCUUGAAAGUGCCACACCCUACUGUGCUCUCAAUA